RNAcentral lists this transfer RNA (90 nucleotides) under Paludisphaera borealis. Its description in RNAcentral is "tRNA-Val". Lineage: Bacteria; Pseudomonadati; Planctomycetota; Planctomycetia; Isosphaerales; Isosphaeraceae. The record is from RNAcentral.
CCUGGGCCGGCGGGUGGCGCUCAAGCUGUUGCCGUUCACGGCGGCGAUGGACCCGAGGCAGGUGCAGCGGUUCCAGGUCGAGGUCCAGGC